GCGGGAGUAAUGGUUCAAGUUGGAGGGUGGCAGCAUAAGAAAAAUAGAGAAAUAAAAGAAAAAUAAAAUUGAGAGAAGGCUAAGGAUAGGGGCAACACAAGAUAUGGAUGGGAGAAAUUUUUUUAGGUUUAUGGGCAAGAGAGGCAAUGUGAAAGCAAAAGGAGAAAGAGAUGUUAUAUAUUAGGGUUUUUAAAUCCUAG
RNAcentral lists this long non-coding RNA (200 nucleotides) under Gossypium raimondii (Peruvian cotton). RNAcentral's name for it is "long non-coding RNA (GRAI_LNC009379)". Lineage: Eukaryota; Viridiplantae; Streptophyta; Magnoliopsida; Malvales; Malvaceae. The record is from RNAcentral.